Molecule: ribosomal RNA, 429 nt
Filed under: uncultured bacterium
Lineage: Bacteria
Description: bacterial SSU rRNA
Rfam family: Bacterial small subunit ribosomal RNA
Source: RNAcentral
UAAGGAAUCUUGCGCAAUGGGCGAAAGCCUGACGCAGCGACACCGCGUGAGGGAUGAAGGCCUUCGGGUUGUAAACCUCUGUCAGGGGGAACGAAACUCCGGUUGGUUAAUAGCCGAUCGGACUGACGGUACCUCCAAAGGAAGCGCCGGCUAACUCCGUGCCAGCAGCCGCGGUAAGACGGAGGGCGCGAACGUUGUUCGGAAUCACUGGGCGUAAAGGGCGCGUAGGCGGAUCGGUAAGUCAGAGGUGAAAUCCCGGGGCUCAACUCCGGGCCUGCCUUUGAAACUGCCGUUCUAGAGUGCAGGAGAGGAAGGCGGAAUUCCAGGUGUAGCGGUGGAAUGCGUAGAUAUCUGGAAGAACACCAGUGGCGAAGGCGGCCUUCUGGACUGUUACUGACGCUGAGGCGCGAAAGCUAGGGGAGCAAACAG